ACUCCUACGGGAGGCAGCAGUGGGGAAUAUUGCACAAUGGGCGCAAGCCUGAUGCAGCCAUGCCGCGUGUAUGAAGAAGGCCUUCGGGUUGUAAAGUACUUUCAGCGGGGAGGAAGGCAAUACGGUUAAUAACCGUGUUGAUUGACGUUACCCGCAGAAGAAGCACCGGCUAACUCCGUGCCAGCAGCCGCGGUAAUACGGAGGGUGCAAGCGUUAAUCGGAAUUACUGGGCGUAAAGCGCACGCAGGCGGUCUGUCAAGUCGGAUGUGAAAUCCCCGGGCUCAACCUGGGAACUGCAUUCGAAACUGGCAGGCUUGAGUCUUGUAGAGGGGGGUAGAAUUCCAGGUGUAGCGGUGAAAUGCGUAGAGAUCUGGAGGAAUACCGGUGGCGAAGGCGGCCCCCUGGACAAAGACUGACGCUCAGGUGCGAAAGCGUGGGGAGCAAACAGGAUUAGAUACCCCUGUAGUCCCAU
Molecule: ribosomal RNA, 472 nt
Filed under: uncultured organism
Description: partial 16S ribosomal RNA
Rfam family: Bacterial small subunit ribosomal RNA
Source: RNAcentral